CGAAUGCUGACAUAAGUAACGAUAAAGCGGGUGAAAAGCCCGCUCGCCGGAAGACCAAGGGUUCCUGUCCAACGUUAAUCGGGGCAGGGUGAGUCGACCCCUAAGGCGAGGCCGAAAGGCGUAGUCGAUGGGAAACAGGUUAAUAUUCCUGUACUUGGUGUUACUGCGAAGGGGGGACGGAGAAGGCUAUGUUGGCCGGGCGACGGUUGUCCCGGUUUAAGCGUGUAGGCUGGUUUUCCAGGCAAAUCCGGAAAAUCAAGGCUGAGGCGUGAUGACGAGGCACUACGGUGCUGAAGCAACAAAUGCCCUGCUUCCAGGAAAAGCCUCUAAGCAUCAGGUAACAUCAAAUCGUACCCCAAACCGACACAGGUGGUCAGGUAGAGAAUACCAAGGCGCUUGAGAGAACUCGGGUGAAGGAACUAGGCAAAAUGGUGCCGUAACUUCGGGAGAAGGCACGCUGAUAUGUAGGUGAAGUCCCUCGCGGAUGGAGCUGAAAUCAGUCGAAGAUACCAGCUGGCUGCAACUGUUUAUUAAAAACACAGCACUGUGCAAACACGAAAGUGGACGUAUACGGUGUGACGCCUGCCCGGUGCCGGAAG
Molecule: ribosomal RNA, 599 nt
Filed under: Escherichia coli
Lineage: Bacteria; Pseudomonadati; Pseudomonadota; Gammaproteobacteria; Enterobacterales; Enterobacteriaceae
Description: partial 23S ribosomal RNA
Rfam family: Bacterial large subunit ribosomal RNA
Source: RNAcentral